UUUUCUGAGCAUAAAAUCUUCACUGAAGUUUAUUGGUUAGCUUGUAUAUGAAUGUAAACAGAUAUUGACCACACAAACAUAAAGCUGGAAGGAGCAGAAUACACACACAGGUGGAUCUUUGAGAGUCUCACAUCAUACUUAGCAUCCACUUUUCUGUAACAGUCAAGAUAUAAAAGUCUAGGAGACUGGAGAGACCACUGCAGUGCCACUGAAGAGCAAACUCUCAAUCACGAGUAUCAGCUAUGUAUUUUUAGAUCCUUCUUGUUUCCUAAAAGAUAGCUUUAGAGAAAGCGUACCAGUUCCACGGUGGAUUUAAUUAAUCAAUAUUUAAGGUCAUGAAGUAGAAAGUGAGGCAUGCAAAAGGGGUGACAAAAAUGUCACGGAAAGAAAAACACACAUACCCAAAAGCAUUAUUACACAAAAAGAUAUCAUAGAGGCACACAGCCUUAGAGCCAGUCCUGAUAUUCAGGCCAAUCUUUUCACCUGUUAGAUGAGAAA
Molecule: long non-coding RNA, 498 nt
Filed under: Bos taurus (domestic cattle)
Lineage: Eukaryota; Metazoa; Chordata; Mammalia; Artiodactyla; Bovidae
Description: long non-coding RNA NONBTAT015944
Source: RNAcentral